UACUGAAAGUUAGAAGUGUACAACAGAUGUACAUGUACGUACGUGGUCAUAAUCAAAUAGAAGCAUUUCCCACAAAGUACAGUUACGAAGCUUUAACAUCAAAUCUGCCACUUUCAAAACUAAUAACUUAUUUGUUGUGUAGAGGCUAUCUAAUGCUGUAAACGCAUUAUUGUCCAUCUUAAUUAUUAAUUAUGCCUUGGUUUUUAUACUGUACAGUAGGUGUACGUGUGUGUGUGUGAGGUCAAGGUUCAUUCAUUUUGCCAAUUGGCUCAGCUUCAUUGUACAUGUCCUAAACACGAUGAUUACCAGUUGUUGUUGUUCUUCCCACGCCCAGUUGAGCGUCGGCGUCGGGACAGGAUCAACGAGCUCAUCAAGGUACUGGCUCAGAUAGUGCCUGCUUGUCAGAAGAAAGACGCAACUGCUGGUUCCAUUGUCGGGUAUGUGUACAGCAAGGGAACGGUACUGGACAAGACAGUGGACUACUUGAAAGAGCUCGUGUUUCAAAACGAACAACUCACAGCCAGUGCCAAAAUCGCAGAGAAAUCAACCAAAGCUUUGAACCAAAUCCUAGUCCUAGAGAAAGAGAACGCAUUUCUUCGAGCACAGAUUAUCCAGUUCGGAAUCGAUGGAGCUGCCUCCUCUGGUCAGAAGCAACCUAACCAGCAACUUCUAAACUCUCCUCUGGCCAGAAUCUCUCCUUCACUUACUAUAGCUACAUUGUCAGUAUUAUUAUGUAUACAUAGUUUUUAUACAUGAUAUUUGUGUUAUUGAACCCGAGCAUAAUAAAUUUAGAAAAAAUGUUGUGAACAUAGCUACGCCCAUUAUAAUUAUGUGCAGUCUAGCCUCCAUCUCAAGCCGCACUUCCUAGAAAGUUGGCCUGGUAGUAUAGACUGCUUGGGCAUGCGCUAACCAUUAGCUACUGAACAUGAAACUGCUGAUGAUGAACCUUUAUCGAGAACAAGGACACUGCCGAGGGUAGCACUUCAGUGCUCUAGUUCUAAUUGUAGAUUGACUGAUCGAUUUGUCUUCUGUACUAUUGUUUGAUUUUUCCGCCCCUCAUCUUUUCCGGCCUCCACUUAUGCGGCCAUUUUGCAGCCCGGCCAAGUGUUGAGGAGACAAGAAGAGGCACUGAGAAUGGAGGUAGAGGUACAGAGUACAUUAGCUGGAAAAUGCAUUUGUGUCAUACUUUGUAGAGUCCCUUAAAGUCAUUCAAGGUCAGCUAUAGUGUGUCCUAUUUGAAGGUGUGCAAUGUACAAUCAUGUACGACCCCCCCC
Molecule: RNA transcript, 1274 nt
Organism: Halichondria panicea
Lineage: Eukaryota; Metazoa; Porifera; Demospongiae; Suberitida; Halichondriidae
Gene name: upstream stimulatory factor 2-like
Exons: 3
Source: RefSeq, a predicted model, not a curated record